Molecule: long non-coding RNA, 360 nt
Filed under: Sorghum bicolor (sorghum)
Lineage: Eukaryota; Viridiplantae; Streptophyta; Magnoliopsida; Poales; Poaceae
Description: long non-coding RNA (SBIC_LNC012898)
Source: RNAcentral
GUAGGGCUAGGUUUAAACCAGAAUUUAUAAAAUGAUUAACAGAUUCCCUAGGUGUAGCUAAAAGUUCAUUAUCUUUUUGAUUAAAAGAUAGGACCUCGGCUAUGGAAAAGGGUUGGUUUUGACCUAUUGCAAUCAACUCCGGACACAUAUCAUAAUUAGGGGCAGGACUUGUUGACUCCCAUGGUCUAUGGCUAGUCUCCGAAGGUGCAAAGAAUUCAAUAAUAGGUAUGGAAUUUAAGUUAUCCAUAAUGAUAGAAAAAAUAAAAAGAUAAAAUAAUAAAAGUAUAAAAGUAUAAUACAAGAUAAUAGCAAGACUUAAAGUUAUCUCAGCAAACCGUCUUUCUCCCCGGCAACGGCGCC